GCCCGGGAAGGAAUGCGGCAGGCGGAAAACUUGCGGAGAAAGAGCGCGGAGCGUCUGAGGGGCGCUGGGUGCUUGUUCCUAAAGGACGAGACACCGGGGAAGCUGGGCGGUAGUUGGAGUGGUGUUUUAUCCAGCGUGCUGUGGCUCUCCAACACAGUCUCGUUUCAUUUAAGUGAAUACCUAUAUUUUAUCCAGCAUCUAUAUUCAAGGGAUUCGUGAAAGAAUGCAGAUCUCUUAGGAUAUUUCAUCAGAAUCAGAACCGGGAUGCAGAUUCUACCUCUUGAUUCCUUUAUGGCUUUGAAACAGAAGAUGUUAUUAAAACAUGCAAGAUGCCCUUGGGAGCCUUGGUCAAGAGGACACAGCCUGGGUCACAGGCGGGGAGAAGGAGACAUGCUGGAACGAGCGGCACAGGCCUGUCAUCCCAGCUACUGAGGAUGAAGCGUGAGGAUCACAGACUCAGACCUGCCAGAGCCAUACAGUGAGCAACUUAGACUGUCUUAAAUUUUAACAAAACAAACCGAUAGAAGUGGAGAUGGGAAUGGGCUCACAUUGCGGAGGUCUAGUGCCUCGCAGCUGAGAGACCUUUGACUCAAUCCCCAAUAUAUCAAAAUUAAUGAAAAUUAAAGUGAUGCAUACAGUAAAAAAAAAAAAAAAAAA
RNAcentral lists this long non-coding RNA (657 nucleotides) under Mus musculus (house mouse). Its description in RNAcentral is "amyloid beta precursor protein binding protein 2, opposite strand (Appbp2os)". The record is from RNAcentral. Lineage: Eukaryota; Metazoa; Chordata; Mammalia; Rodentia; Muridae.